CACGUAGUUAGCCGUCCCUUUCUGGUAAGCUACCGUCACAGUGUGAACUUUCCACUCUUACACCCGUUCUUGACUUACAACAGAGCUUUACGAUCCGAAAACCUUCUUCACUCACGCGGCGUUGCUCGGUCAGGGUUGCCCCCAUUGCCGAAGAUUCCCUACUGCUGCCUCCCGUAGGAGUCUGGGCCGUGUCUCAGUCCCAGUGUGGCCGAUCACCCUCUCAGGUCGGCUAUGUAUCGUCGCCUAGGUGAGCCAUUACCUCACCUACUAGCUAAUACAACGCAGGUCCAUCUUGUAGUGGAGCAAUUGCCCCUUUCAAAUAAAUGACAUGUGUCAUCCAUUGUUAUGCGGUAUUAGCUAUCGUUUCCAAUAGUUAUCCCCCGCUACAAGGCAGGUUACCUACGCGUUACUCACCCGUUCGCAACUCAUCCAAGAAGAGCAAGCUCCUCUCUUCAGCGUUCUACUUGCAUGUAUUAGGCACGCCGCCAGCGUCG
Molecule: ribosomal RNA, 494 nt
Filed under: uncultured Streptococcus sp.
Lineage: Bacteria; Bacillati; Bacillota; Bacilli; Lactobacillales; Streptococcaceae
Description: partial 16S ribosomal RNA
Source: RNAcentral